GAUGAACGCUGGCGGCGUGCCUAAUACAUGCAAGUCGAGCGAACAGAUGAGGAGCUUGCUCCUCUGACGUUAGCGGCGGACGGGUGAGUAACACGUGGAUAACCUACCUAUAAGACUGGGAUAACUUCGGGAAACCGGAGCUAAUACCGGAUAAUAUAUUGAACCGCAUGGUUCAAUAGUGAAAGACGGUUUUGCUGUCACUUAUAGAUGGAUCCGCGCCGCAUUAGCUAGUUGGUAAGGUAACGGCUUACCAAGGCGACGAUGCGUAGCCGACCUGAGAGGGUGAUCGGCCACACUGGAACUGAGACACGGUCCAGACUCCUACGGGAGGCAGCAGUAGGGAAUCUUCCGCAAUGGGCGAAAGCCUGACGGAGCAACGCCGCGUGAGUGAUGAAGGUCUUCGGAUCGUAAAACUCUGUUAUUAGGGAAGAACAAAUGUGCAAGUAACUAUGCACGUCUUGACGGUACCUAAUCAGAAAGCCACGGCUAACUACGUG
Molecule: ribosomal RNA, 497 nt
Filed under: uncultured bacterium
Lineage: Bacteria
Description: partial 16S ribosomal RNA
Rfam family: Bacterial small subunit ribosomal RNA
Source: RNAcentral